UGAAAGUGAGCUAUCUCAAGCCUGUGGAAG
This 30-nucleotide non-coding RNA is filed under the name Mus musculus (house mouse). The record is from RNAcentral. Lineage: Eukaryota; Metazoa; Chordata; Mammalia; Rodentia; Muridae.